Molecule: ribosomal RNA, 551 nt
Filed under: uncultured bacterium
Lineage: Bacteria
Description: bacterial SSU rRNA
Rfam family: Bacterial small subunit ribosomal RNA
Source: RNAcentral
UAGGGAAUCUUCCGCAAUGGGCGAAAGCCUGACGGAGCAACGCCGCGUGAGUGAUGAAGGUCUUCGGAUCGUAAAACUCUGUUAUUAGGGAAGAACAUAUGUGUAAGUAACUGUGCACAUCUUGACGGUACCUAAUCAGAAAGCCACGGCUAACUACGUGCCAGCAGCCGCGGUAAUACGUAGGUGGCAAGCGUUAUCCGGAAUUAUUGGGCGUAAAGCGCGCGUAGGCGGUUUUUUAAGUCUGAUGUGAAAGCCCACGGCUCAACCGUGGAGGGUCAUUGGAAACUGGAAAACUUGAGUGCAGAAGAGGAAAGUGGAAUUCCAUGUGUAGCGGUGAAAUGCGCAGAGAUAUGGAGGAACACCAGUGGCGAAGGCGACUUUCUGGUCUGUAACUGACGCUGAUGUGCGAAAGCGUGGGGAUCAAACAGGAUUAGAUACCCUGGUAGUCCACGCCGUAAACGAUGAGUGCUAAGUGUUAGGGGGUUUCCGCCCCUUAGUGCUGCAGCUAACGCAUUAAGCACUCCGCCUGGGGAGUACGACCGCNNAGGUUG